Molecule: ribosomal RNA, 301 nt
Filed under: uncultured bacterium
Lineage: Bacteria
Description: partial 16S ribosomal RNA
Rfam family: Bacterial small subunit ribosomal RNA
Source: RNAcentral
CAGUCGCCGCGGUAAUACGUAGGUGGCAAGCGUUGUCCGGAAUUAUUGGGCGUAAAGGGCUCGCAGGCGGUUUCUUAAGUCUGAUGUGAAAGCCCCCGGCUCAACCGGGGAGGGUCAUUGGAAACUGGGAAACUUGAGUGCAGAAGAGGAGAGUGGAAUUCCACGUGUAGCUGUGAAAUGCGUAGAGAAGUGGAGGAACACCAGUGGCGAAGGCGACUCUCUGGUCUGUAACUGACGCUGAGGAGCGAAAGCGUGGGGAGCGAACAGGAUUAGAUACCCCCGUAGUCCCUGUCUCUUAUAC